Papaver somniferum (opium poppy) is the source of this 440-nucleotide long non-coding RNA. RefSeq lists it as uncharacterized. The transcript is spliced from 3 exons. NCBI's taxonomy places the organism in Eukaryota, Viridiplantae, Streptophyta, Magnoliopsida, Ranunculales, Papaveraceae. The record is from RefSeq and is a predicted model, not a curated record.
CACUCUUUGCUCUCUAAUCUUUCAUGUUCUCUCUUCCUCUUCAUCUUCCUUACGGUUAAUCCUUUCAGAUCCAAUAAAAAAAAGUUAUAUUUUGUUGAUAUUCGAUGGUGCCAAAUAAGUUGUUGAUGUUUAAAUCUUGAUGUGGUUUGGGAAGUUAGCUUAUUCAAUCGUGAUAUUAACCUGAUCCGCUUAGAGAAGGGUGCAUAAGCGGAUACUGUUUAUGAGUUUUGGACGUUUCCAUUGCAAGGUGAACAUAAUUACUUUCCUUCUGAAUAUUGAUUUUGCAGGAGUGUAGAAGAAGAUUGGGAUGAAAUUUCGUUAUCUUUCUUCUUUCUUUUUUCUGAAAAUUACGAUGUGGUCAAGUUAUCCGAUGAUUAUGUAUCAUUUAUGUACUAAAUUUUUGUAUGAAAUAAAAUUAAUCCAAAAUUUUGUUCUUGUUA